AGCACACCGUGUUUUAGUUAGCAAUGUCAUUACAACAAAAAUAGUCUAUAGCAACACUUUUAAAUAUCGAUACAGCUCAAAAAAAGUGCUGCUGACUAAAUUAUCAACACUUUUAAAAAGUGUUACUAUAUGUGGGGUCGCUAGAUAUAUAGUGACAAUUAAAGAGUGUCGCUAUAACAUAAAAAGAGUUGUGCUAAUUUGGCAACACUUAUUUAAACAUCUAGCAACUGUCGGAACUCUACCUCGUUGGCUGCGGUGGCGCAGGAGGACAAGAGGGAAUGGCCCUUCGUCUAGGAUUUCAGUGGAUUGUGUGAGAGGAGAAGGAGAGAUGGUAAUCGAUUUUUCUUCCUUUUUUUUUUCCUAUUUGUAAUCGGACCAAAUGGGCUAGGUUGGGUGGGUUGAGUAGAGUAACCUUUUAUUUUUUAUUGGAUUCGGCUUUAUAUUUAGGUAUUAGUAGAUAUUUUUUAAAAUUUUGGCAUAAAUGGGACACUUAGAUAAAAGUGUUCCAAAAAUGUGUCCCUAUAACCUAAUUCUGUUGUAGUGCGUACAUAUUAGCUGUACCCAUAUUUAUGAAUCAAUUAUGUGUAAAGAAUAAUAUAAUU
This 602-nucleotide long non-coding RNA is filed under the name Ananas comosus (pineapple). RNAcentral describes it as "long non-coding RNA (ACOM_LNC043264)". The record is from RNAcentral. Lineage: Eukaryota; Viridiplantae; Streptophyta; Magnoliopsida; Poales; Bromeliaceae.